This is a non-coding RNA of Arvicanthis niloticus (Nile rat), 81 nucleotides long. The record is from RefSeq and is a predicted model, not a curated record. Lineage: Eukaryota; Metazoa; Chordata; Mammalia; Rodentia; Muridae.
AGAAGGGGAGGGGAGUGCUUGCUUCGGCAGCACAUAUUACUAAAAUUGGAAUGAUACAGAGAAGAUUAGCAUGGCCCCUGC